Molecule: ribosomal RNA, 253 nt
Filed under: uncultured bacterium
Lineage: Bacteria
Description: partial 16S ribosomal RNA
Rfam family: Bacterial small subunit ribosomal RNA
Source: RNAcentral
UACGUAGGGUGCGAGCGUUGUCCGGAAUUACUGGGCGUAAAGAGCUCGUAGGUGGUUUGUCGCGUUGUUCGUGAAAACUCACAGCUUAACUGUGGGCGUGCGGGCGAUACGGGCAGACUGGAGUACUGCAGGGGAGACUGGAAUUCCUGGUGUAGCGGUGGAAUGCGCAGAUAUCAGGAGGAACACCGGUGGCGAAGGCGGUUCUCUGGGCAUUACCUGACGCUGAGGAGCGAAAGCGUGGGGAGCAAACAGG